RNAcentral lists this long non-coding RNA (352 nucleotides) under Capra hircus (goat). RNAcentral describes it as "lncRNA (ENSCHIG00010007394.1)". Lineage: Eukaryota; Metazoa; Chordata; Mammalia; Artiodactyla; Bovidae. The record is from RNAcentral.
CAGAUGGUGAAACUAUUUGUGCAGAAGGUGGGGGUGGGUAGGGGAAAGGGGAACCUAAAAUUUCACCACAUGGAAAGUUUCUAUAAUCAGAGGUUUUUCUCUGGGUUGUGCAGACUGUGAAGCCAAAAGGGGAGAAUCAUACAGAAGAGUUCUCAAAGGGACAAAACUGGAAGAACUAUACUUAGAAAAAUGUGAUGCUCUUACACCAGUUGGCUUCCCAGAUGAUGCUAGAGGUAAAGAACCUUCCUGCCAAUGCGGGAGAUGUAAGAGACACAGGUUCUAUCCCUGCGUCAGGAAUAUCACCUGGAAGAAGGCAUGGCAACCCACUCCAGUAUUCUUGCCUGGAGAAUCC